This 419-nucleotide ribosomal RNA is filed under the name uncultured bacterium. Its description in RNAcentral is "bacterial SSU rRNA". It matches the Rfam family "Bacterial small subunit ribosomal RNA", at positions 355 to 786 of the family's 1533-position model. The record is from RNAcentral.
UGGGGAAUAUUGGGCAAUGGGCGCAAGCCUGACCCAGCAACGCCGCGUGAAGGAAGAAGGCUUUCGGGUUGUAAACUUCUUUUCUCAGGGACGAAGCAAGUGACGGUACCUGAGGAAUAAGCCACGGCUAACUACGUGCCAGCAGCCGCGGUAAUACGUAGGUGGCAAGCGUUUAUCCGGAUUUACUGGGUGUAAAGGGCGUGUAGGCGGGAUCGCAAGUCAGAUGUGAAAACUGGAGGCUCAACCUCCAGCCUGCAUUUGAAACUGUGGUUCUUGAGUACUGGAGAGGCAGACGGAAUUUCCUAGUGUAGCGGUGAAAUGCGUAGAUAUUAGGAGGAACACCAGUGGCGAAGGCGGUCUGCUGGACAGCAACUGACGCUGAGGCGCGAAAGCGUGGGGAGCAAACAGGAUUAGAUACC